Rhinopithecus roxellana (golden snub-nosed monkey) is the source of this 760-nucleotide long non-coding RNA. RefSeq lists it as uncharacterized. Lineage: Eukaryota; Metazoa; Chordata; Mammalia; Primates; Cercopithecidae. The transcript has 3 exons. The record is from RefSeq and is a predicted model, not a curated record.
CUUCACUGUACUGCUCAGACCUCUCCAUCCUGGUGGCAAGGGCUUAGGCCAUUAUUCAUGGUCUGACUGGUCUUGACGUGGCCAUCUUGCCUUUGAAAAAGGGCAGACACAGAGCAUGUUCAGAGCAUGGAGCCAUACUGUGUGAUUUCUUCAAAGAGAGCUUAACCGUAGAAUUUGGAUUAAUAAAUGACGUAACUGCUUCAGGGCAACAGACCCUCACUGCAGCUGCUUAGCCCAGGAAGCAGCAAGGUCAGUACAAGGAGAGCCACAGGCCUGGGGAGAUGCAUGCCUUCCUUCCUGGCCAGCUGGAUCGCACUACAUAGCCCAGAUCGCCUGCAAGAAGGACAAAGUCAAGCACUUCACAACCCUGUCAGUUGUAGUCCUGAAGAAGGUGGCCAGGAGCUCUAGAAGGAUUCAAAGCCCCAGGGAUUUUUGGUUUUCAUGUACACACUUCUCUUUACAUAUUUGUUCUUCGACAUCCAAUCAGCCUUGCAGGGAGGAUAUAAUAGCCAGAAAAAUAAGCAAACAGAAGAUUCCAGGUUCUACUUUAUGCCAAUUUUGCUCAAAUAUCUCAGUCACUAGAAAAAGAUCUAUUUGAAAAUCUUUCUCUGAGCAGUUUCUGUCUUGAGCCCCAUUGUUUGAGGAGCCUGUUGGAUUUUUAAAUUUAUUAGUGUUUCCAUACUUCAUUCCUUGACAUAUAUGUAUAUUCUCUAUACUUUACAAUUACAAGUAAACUCUUGAUAAUAAAAAGUAACUGUCA